RNAcentral lists this ribosomal RNA (460 nucleotides) under uncultured bacterium. Its description in RNAcentral is "partial 16S ribosomal RNA". It matches the Rfam family "Bacterial small subunit ribosomal RNA", at positions 338 to 795 of the family's 1533-position model. The record is from RNAcentral.
CCUACGGGAGGCAGCAGUGAGGAAUUUUCGUCAAUGGACGAGAGUCUGAACCAGCCAAGUAGCGUGAAGGAUGACUGCCCUAUGGGUUGUAAACUUCUUUUAUAUGGGAAUAAAAUGUUCCACGUGAGGGAAUUUGUAUGUAUAUUAUGAUUCAGGAUCGUCUAAAUACGUUCCAGCAGCCGCGGUAAUACGGAGGAUCCGUGCGUUGUCCGGUCUUAUUGGGUUGAAAGGGAGGGUUGGUGGGUUGUUAAGUCAGUUGUGAAAGUUUGCGGCUCAACCGUAAAAAUGCAGUGGAAACUGGCGGGCUAGAGAGCAGGAGAGGUGGGUGGAAUUCGAGGUGUAGCGGUAAAAUGCUUAGAUAUAACGAAGAACUCCAGUGGCGAAGGCAGUUGACUGGACUGCUACUGACACUGAGGCUCGAAAGUGUGGGUAGCAAACAGGAUUAGAUACCCUAGUAGUC